RNAcentral lists this long non-coding RNA (265 nucleotides) under Musa acuminata (dwarf banana). RNAcentral's name for it is "long non-coding RNA (MACU_LNC011769)". Lineage: Eukaryota; Viridiplantae; Streptophyta; Magnoliopsida; Zingiberales; Musaceae. The record is from RNAcentral.
CCUCUUCCCUUCUCCUCCCCAAUGCCCCACACAUCCUCUCCUCUGUUUCCACCUGCGGGAAACAGAGGUGCUGCAGCCCUAGCUGCAGCUGCUGCCUCUCUCUCUCUCCUCUCCAUCUUCCCUCUCUUCUUCUUCUUCUUCUUCUUCUUUUCUUCUCUUCUCCCUCUUCUUCCUAAUCUCUUCUUUUCCCUCUUCUUCUUCUUUUCUUCUCUUCUCCCACAACUUAUCUUCUUCUUCUCCCCACGCCCCACCGCUCCUCUCUCUG